GUGCCGCUCCAGGCCCCCAGGGCUUCCCAGCGCAUUCUAGCUGGAGCCACAGUGACUCCUGGGACGCACCUGCCAGCUGCAGAUUCCAGCUGUGCUAUUUGCCUUCCAGGGACAUUCCGACUCAACCCACCCUAGGUGACCACCACCACGGCCCUCUUCAUAAAACAUGAACUUUGAAAUGGUUUCUCCAACUCUCCUACUGAAGUAAGUACGAUACUUUUAUAUUUUUCUUAUUUUUUACAAAUUUUGCUAUUUGUCUUUCUUGCAAUUUGUCUUUGCUUCUUGUCUUUCUCUACUUGAUCUUAAAAUGUUGUAUUUUCCUCAGAUUUUUCUCUUUUAGAAGGAAAUCUUAGUGUCUCCUGGGGAUUUUAUUCCCACCCAAGGUUUCUGCUACCACGGACACAUAGGUACACUGCAGACAUUUGCCUUCAGAUAAGACUUUUGUCUUANNNNNNNNNNAAUAUGAUGUAGUAACAGUUUGCUUUUAUUUUGAUUUUUUUCCUCAUAUUUCUGUCUAUAAUGUUAUUCUUACUUCUGGAAAUCUCCUCUUCUAUUUCAUUCUCCAAUCCC
RNAcentral lists this long non-coding RNA (570 nucleotides) under Capra hircus (goat). Its description in RNAcentral is "lncRNA (ENSCHIG00010002292.1)". Lineage: Eukaryota; Metazoa; Chordata; Mammalia; Artiodactyla; Bovidae. The record is from RNAcentral.